ACCCGCUGAACUUAAGCAUAUCAAUAAGCGGAGGAAAAGAAACCAACAGGGAUUGCCCUAGUAACGGCGAGUGAAGCGGCAACAGCUCAAAUUUGAAAUCUGGCUCUUUUAGAGUCCGAGUUGUAAUUUGCAGAGGGCGCUUUGGCUUUGGCAGCGGUCCAAGUUCCUUGGAACAGGACGUCACAGAGGGUGAGAAUCCCGUACGUGGUCGCUGGCUAUUGCCGUGUAAAGCCCCUUCGACGAGUCGAGUUGUUUGGGAAUGCAGCUCUAAAUGGGAGGUACAUUUCUUCUAAAGCUAAAUAUUGGCCAGAGACCGAUAGCGCACAAGUAGAGUGAUCGAAAGAUGAAAAGCACUUUGGAAAGAGCGUCAAACAGCACGUGAAAUUGUUGAAAGGGAAGCGCUUGCAGCCAGACUUGCUUACAGUUGCUCAUCCGGGCUUUUGCCCGGUGCACUCUUCUGUAGGCAGGCCAGCAUCAGUUUGGGCGGUAGGAUAAAGGUCUCUGUCACGUACCUCUCUUCGGGGAGGCCUUAUAGGGGAGACGACAUACUACCAGCCUGGACUGAGGUCCGCGCAUCUGCUAGGAUGCUGGCGUAAUGGCUGU
RNAcentral lists this ribosomal RNA (603 nucleotides) under uncultured fungus. RNAcentral describes it as "eukaryotic LSU rRNA". It matches the Rfam family "Eukaryotic large subunit ribosomal RNA", at positions 23 to 641 of the family's 3401-position model. The record is from RNAcentral. Lineage: Eukaryota; Fungi.